Molecule: ribosomal RNA, 59 nt
Filed under: Fusarium oxysporum
Lineage: Eukaryota; Fungi; Ascomycota; Sordariomycetes; Hypocreales; Nectriaceae
Description: partial 28S ribosomal RNA
Rfam family: Eukaryotic large subunit ribosomal RNA
Source: RNAcentral
UGACCUCGGAUCAGGUAGGAAUACCCGCUGAACUUAAGCAUAUCAAUAAGCGGAGGAAC